AUGAAAGAAGUGUCUGGUAAGAAGAAGAAAGUUGUAGCAACCAGUGAUAAGUUUGAAGGAAAUAAGAAAACAACUCCUAAAAGAAAAAUUGCUCCUAUGGUGGGAGAUGUUGAAGAAGAUGUGGAAGAUAAUAUGGAUAAUAUUAAGGAACCCCCUCUGAAGAAGAAUAAUAAAUUUUUUGGUGAAAAGAAGUUUCCCACAAAUGUCCAUAUUUCUCCCUUGGACAACGUUUACAAGUCAUUACAGGAAGUUAUUCUUACCUCCACAGCCAAAAAGACCAAGGUGGAUGACUUGAUCAAAAUGAUGAGUCCCAAAGGAGCUGAAGCAUCCACAUUUGAUUAG
Non-coding RNA from Vicia faba (fava bean), 342 nucleotides. The record is from the annotation of a GenBank genome assembly. NCBI's taxonomy places the organism in Eukaryota, Viridiplantae, Streptophyta, Magnoliopsida, Fabales, Fabaceae.